GCCAUGGCACUCACUCUAGCCUGGGCAACAGAGUGAGACUCUGUCUCAAAAAAGAAAAAGCAUUUCCCCUGAGACUUUUCUGCCAGAGCAUCUCUUUCCACCAGCACAUGAGCCCGGGGAAUCAGUGCACAUCUUGGUCGACAGGUAAAGAGAACAUCUGAACCAGCCUGAGCCUGGAAGAGGAGCCUGCCUGCCUGCUCGAUUAUGAACUCAGGUUACUCACUUAUGUCUGGCCUGUGAAGAACGCCUGACCCAGGCUCUCAUCGCACAGAGGAGCGUGCUGCGGCUGGGCGGGGACCAUUUCCAUCCUGGAAGAACCCCCUGGACCAUGCUUGGUUCAGUCUCCUUUGAGGACCCUGUGUAACUAUGUGGCUCCUCAGGGACUUACCAACCUCCUGAAGCCCCCCCUCCCCUGCACUACUCUGUCU
This is a long non-coding RNA of Microcebus murinus (gray mouse lemur), 428 nucleotides long. RefSeq lists it as uncharacterized. The record is from RefSeq and is a predicted model, not a curated record. Lineage: Eukaryota; Metazoa; Chordata; Mammalia; Primates; Cheirogaleidae.